This 384-nucleotide ribosomal RNA is filed under the name Chicomurex elliscrossi. RNAcentral describes it as "partial small subunit ribosomal RNA". The record is from RNAcentral. Lineage: Eukaryota; Metazoa; Mollusca; Gastropoda; Neogastropoda; Muricidae.
UUAUUCUUAGCCAUAAAAAAAUUUGAAUUUACCAGAGCACUACGAACUAAAAAGUUUAAAACUCAAAGGGCUUGGCGGUGUUUUAGACCUCUUAGGGGAACCUGUCUCAUAAUCGACAAUCCACGUUAAACCUAACUCCUUUUUGCAUUCAGUAUGUAUACCAUCGUCGUCAGGUAACUUUUCAAAAAUUAGAAGUUAGCUAACAAACUAUUUAAGUUUAAACGUCAGAUCAAGGUGCAGUCGAUAAAAGGAGUGAGGAUGGGUUACAAUUAUGGAAUUAUAAAUACGGAAUAGUUAGAUGAAUUAAAUAACUAUGAAGGAGGACUUAAAAGUAAAAUAGAAUUAUAUAAGCAUAUUGAAUUAGGCUCUGAAACGUGCACACAC